This 433-nucleotide ribosomal RNA is filed under the name uncultured bacterium. RNAcentral's name for it is "partial 16S ribosomal RNA". It matches the Rfam family "Bacterial small subunit ribosomal RNA", at positions 29 to 507 of the family's 1533-position model. The record is from RNAcentral.
AUCGAACGCUGGCGGCAUGCUUAACACAUGCAAGUCGCACGGGCAGCAAUGUCAGUGGCGGACGGGUGAGUAACGCGUAGGAACGUGUCCUGAGGUGGGGGACAACGCCGGGAAACUGGGGCUAAUACCGCAUAUGGGUUGAGGCCCAAGGCCGAGAGGCACCUUUGGAGCGGCCUGCGUCCGAUUAGGUAGUUGGUGGGGUAAAGGCCUACCAAGCCUGCGAUCGGUAGCUGGUCUGAGAGGACGACCAGCCACACUGGGGCUGAGACACGGCCCAGACUCCUACGGGAGGGAGCAGUGGGGAAUAUUGGACAAUGGCCGGAAGCAUGAACCAGUAAUGCCGCGUGGGUGAAGAAGGUGUUCGGAUAGUAAAGCACGUUCGUCGGGGACGAUGAUGACGGUACCCGUAGAAGAAGCCCCGGCUAACUUCGUG